This 465-nucleotide ribosomal RNA is filed under the name uncultured bacterium. Its description in RNAcentral is "partial 16S ribosomal RNA". It matches the Rfam family "Bacterial small subunit ribosomal RNA", at positions 338 to 795 of the family's 1533-position model. The record is from RNAcentral.
CCUACGGGAGGCUGCAGUGGGGAAUUUUGGACAAUGGGCGCAAGCCUGAUCCAGCUAUUCCGCGUGUGGGAAGACGGCCUUCGGGUUGUAAACCACUUUUGUAGAGAACGAAAAGUCUAUUGAUAAUACCGAUAGAUGAUGACGGUACUCUAAGAAUAAGCACCGGCUAACUACGUGCCAGCAGCCGCGGUAAUACGUAGGGUGCGAGCGUUAAUCGGAAUUACUGGGCGUAAGGGGUGUGCAGGCGGUUUUGCAAGUUGGAUGUGAAAGCCCCGGGCUUAACCUGGGAAAGCCAUACAUGACUGCAAGACUAGAGUGCGUCAGAGGGAGGUGGAAUUCCAAGUGUAGCAGUGAAAUGCGUAGAUAUUUGGAAGAACACCGAUGGCGAAGGCAGCCCCCUGGGACGCAACUGACGCUCAUACACGAAAGCGUGGGGAGCAAACAGGAUUAGAUACCCCAGUAGUC